GACGAACGCUGGCGGCGUGCCUAAUACAUGCCAGUUGAGCGAUGAAGAUUGGUGCUUGCACCAAUUUGAAGAGCAGCGAACGGGUGAGUAACGCGUGGGGAAUCUGCCUUUGAGCGGGGGACAACAUUUGGAAACGAAUGCUAAUACCGCAUAAUAACUUUAAACAUAAGUUUUAAGUUUGAAAGAUGCAAUUGCAUCACUCAAAGAUGAUCCCGCGUUGUAUUAGCUAGUUGGUGAGGUAAAGGCUCACCAAGGCGAUGAUACAUAGCCGACCUGAGAGGGUGAUCGGCCACAUUGGGACUGAGACACGGCCCAAACUCCUACGGGAGGCAGCAGUAGGGAAUCUUCGGCAAUGGACGAAAGUCUGACCGAGCAACGCCGCGUGAGUGAAGAAGGUUUUCGGAUCGUAAAACUCUGUUGGUAGAGAAGAACGUUGGUGAGAGUGGAAAGCUCAUCAAGUGACGGUAACUACCCAGAAAGGGACGGCUAACUACGU
This 496-nucleotide ribosomal RNA is filed under the name uncultured bacterium. RNAcentral's name for it is "partial 16S ribosomal RNA". It matches the Rfam family "Bacterial small subunit ribosomal RNA", at positions 28 to 506 of the family's 1533-position model. The record is from RNAcentral.